This 465-nucleotide ribosomal RNA is filed under the name uncultured bacterium. RNAcentral describes it as "partial 16S ribosomal RNA". It matches the Rfam family "Bacterial small subunit ribosomal RNA", at positions 28 to 507 of the family's 1533-position model. The record is from RNAcentral.
GACGAACGCUGGCGGCGUGCUUAACACAUGCAAGUCGAACGGAAAGGCCCUGCUUGCAGGGUACUCGAGUGGCGAACGGGGGAGUAACACGUGGGUGAUCUGCCCUGCACUUCGUGAUAAGCCUGGGAAACUGGGUCUAAUACCGGAUAGGAGCCAUCUUGAGUCUGAUGGUUGGAAAGUUUUUUCGGUGUAGUAUGAGCUCGCGGCCUAUCAGCUUGUUGGUGGGGUAAUGGCCUACCAAGGCGGCGACGGGUAGCCGGCCUGGGAGGGUGGACGGCCACAUUGGGACUGAGAUACGGCCCAGACUCCUACGGGAGGGAGCAGUGGGGAAUAUUGCAAAAUGGGCGCGAGCCUGAUGCAGGGAAGCCGCGUGGGGGAUGACGGCCUUCGGGUUGUAAACUCCUUUCGCUAGGGACGAAGCUUUUUGUGACGGUACCUAGAUAAGAAGCACCGGCUAACUACGUG